This 182-nucleotide unclassified non-coding RNA is filed under the name Ruminococcus flavefaciens. Its description in RNAcentral is "Bacterial large signal recognition particle RNA". The stretch from base 61 to 159 matches the Rfam family "Bacterial small signal recognition particle RNA". Rfam says of the family: The signal recognition particle (SRP) is a universally conserved ribonucleoprotein involved in the co-translational targeting of proteins to membranes. Archaeal SRP consists of a 7S RNA and homologues of the eukaryotic SRP19 and SRP54 proteins. Lineage: Bacteria; Bacillati; Bacillota; Clostridia; Eubacteriales; Oscillospiraceae. The record is from RNAcentral.
UCAUAGUAAAAGAGCAAUGUCUGCUCAUAUUAUCCGUGAUUGAAAUUCCGAAAUAUAGAUGUGUGGGCCCUGUGCAACAAGACCCCGUGAACCAUGUCAGGCGGGAGACCGAGCAGCAUUAAGCGGUGCGUGUUGUGUGCCGCAGCAAGCCUGCACAUCUAUGUUCCGGAAUUUUUCUUUGA